ACGGCGAGUGAACGGAGAGAAGCCCAGCGCUGAAUCAUUUGAUCACAGUGAUCAAAAUGAAAUGUAGCGUAUAGGUGUAAUUGUCCAAAUGUUUUGUGCACUCAAAGUCCCCUUGAGCGGGGCCACAGUCCACAGAAGGUGCUAGACCUGUACGGGUGACGAAACAUUUGGUUGAUUGCUCCUUGGAGUCGGGUUGCCUGAGAUCGCAGCUCAAAGUGGGUGGUAAACCUCAUCUAAGGCUAAAUAUGGCCACGAGACCGAUAGCAAACAAGUACCGUGAGGGAAAGUUGAAAAGAACUCUGAGAAGAGAGUUAAAGGAGGACGUGAAACCGCUGGGAUGGAAACGAAUAGAGUUGACGAAACUUACCGUCAUUCAACCGAUCAACUCAGCGGUCUUUUAUUGUUUAAUUGUACCAAUUAAUGUGCAUCAUCUUUUGUUGGUGUAUAUUAAUGGACAAUAAUAAAAGGUGCUGUUGAGUAGUUUCAAUGCCUGUGUGAUCGGUGCAUUUGAUGGUAGUACGCGCCGAGAGCUGCGUUGUUUUGAAUUGUGUACGAUGAAACAUUUUGAUAGUGGACCGGAUAAUUUUUAUUCGGAAACCUAUCAAUUGUGGAAGCGUAUCAUCAAUGCAGUUUUUUUUGGAAUGCAUACUUUCGCCAUUGUUUUUGGUGCGUUACAUAUGUGCUCAAAUUUAUACUAACAUAUUAUGAUCGCUUGCGUAUCAUAUAUGUUUUUGGUAUUAAAUUGAGUGAUAUGUUUUUUCAUGAUUGAACGCGUUAAAGUUGCAUCUCGGUGUGAGCGUCGAUCACCUAUUCGACCCGUCUUGAAACACGGACCAAGGAGUCUAGCAUAUACGCAAGUUAUUGGGUGGUAAACCUUAAAAAACGCAAUGAAAGUGAACAUCGUCUUGAUACGAUUUUGAAUAUGUGAACCAUGUUUGUUCUUAUUUUUUUGAUUGAUGUAUGUAUGUGUUUUUUUAGCACAUACAUAUUUGAUCAUGAAUAUUUACAAUUACAUGGUGCAACAUAGCCCCGUCCCCGUUGCUUGCAAUAGGGCGGAGGUAGAGCGUAUACGCUGGGACCCGAAAGAUGGUGAACUAUGCCUGAGCAGGAUGAAGCCAGAGGAAACUCUGGUGGAGGUCCGAAGCGAUUCUGACGUGCAAAUCGAUCGUCUGACUUUGGUAUAGGGGCGAAAGACUAAUCGAACUAUCUAGUAGCUGGUUCCCUCUGAAGUUUCCCCCAGGAUAGCUGGAGUACAUCAAACAGCAGUUAUAUUCGGUAAAGCGAAUGAUUAGACGAAUUGGGGACGAAACGUCCUCAACCUAUUCUCAAACUUUCAAUGGGUAUGAAGUUUCGCUUUCUUAAAGAGAAAAUUUUGUUUUCUCAUUGAAGCGUAAACAUUGAAUGCGUACUCCAAGUGGGCCAUUUUUGGUAAGCAGAACUGGCGCUGUGGGAUGAACCAAACGUCAAGAUAAAGUGCCAAACUUUUCGCUCAUGAGACCCCAUGAAAGGCGUUGGUUGAUAUAGACAGCAGGACGGUGGCCAUGGAAGUCGGAAGCCGCUAAGGAGUGUGUAACAACUCACCUGCCGAAUCAACUAGCCCUGAAAAUGGAUGGCGCUUGAGCGAGAGACUUAUACUCGACCGUUGCUAGGCUUGUGUACACAGGUAAAAAAUAUCAACAAAAAAAAAAAUUUUUUUUUUUUUUGGAAAAAACAAUGAAACAUUUUGUUACCUGGCCGCAACGAGUAAGAGGGUCGCAGUGGUUAGCGCUGAAAACUUUGGGCGUAGGCCCAGUUGGAGCUUCCACUGGUGCAGAUCUUGGUGGUAGUAGCAAAUAUUCAAGUGAGAUCCUUGAAGACUGAAGUGGAGAAGGGUUCCUCGUGAACAGCAGUUGGAUGCGGGUCAGUCGAUCCUAAGAUAUUGGCUAAUGCCAUUUGUUGAAUGAGAGACGGAGAUCAAAUCCAUCUCGGCAAUCGAAAGGGAAACGGGUUUAUAUUCCCGUACCUGGACACGGAGAUUAAAUACUCAUAGCGGGUAUUUAGCGCGGUAACGCAAACGAACUCGGAGACGUUGAGCAGAGCCCGAGCCAGAGUUCUCUUUUCUGGUUAAGGAACGGACUCCCUGGAAGCGGUUCAGCCGGCGAUAGGGACGUUGUUUCCGUAAAGCGCCACGGUUCCUGUGGCGUCUCGUGCACUCUGCUCGAUCCAUGAAAAUCCGAGGGAGGCAAUUUGAAUUUCGUGCCAGAUCGUACCGAUAUCCGCAGCAGGUCUCCAAGGUGAACAGCCUCUAGUCGAUAGAAUAAUGUAGGUAAGGGAAGUCGGCAAAUUAGAUCCGUAACUUCGGGAAAAGGAUUGGCUCUAAGGACUGGGUCGGUCGGGCUGCAGCGUGAAGUGAGUGCGGUUUGAUCCGUGCAGUGCUAACGCUAAUUGGUUGCACAAAAUUUCUUGAUCUCUGGAUUAGAAAUCUUCUCUGAUUGCAUCAUUGAAAGUAUUGCAUAUGAUAUAUGUGUGUGUGUAUUACAUAUGUGUGAUAAUUUGUUUUUUUGGACAGAUUAUUUACUAUAUGUAUGCGCGUGUGCAUAUAUUAUUGUAUGCUUUUUGUGGUGUUUUAUUGGAUGAAGAAAAAUUUCUUUUUCUUCGAGUGAAAAGGAAUGUGUCCAAUUUGGUGUUUGGCUCGGCUAGUGUUUGAACUGUCUUAUGGACCACUGCAGCUGUGUAUUGGUUCACUUUUUUUGGUGCCAAUACUUCGUCCGGCGCUAAACAGUCAGCUUAGAACUGGCACGGACUCGGGGAAUCCGACUGUCUAAUUAAAACAGAGGAGACAGAUGGUCCUUGCGGACGUUGACUGUCUCUGAUUUCUGCCCAGUGCUCUGAAUGUAAAAGUGAAGAAAUUCAACCAAGCGCGGGUAAACGGCGGGAGUAACUAUGACUCUCUUAAGGUAGCCAAAUGCCUCGUCGGCCAAUUACCGACGCGCAUGAAUGGAUUAUCGAGAUUCCCACUGUCCCUAUCUACUAUCUAGCGAAAUCACAGCCAAGGGAACGGGCUUGGUAAACACAGCGGGGAAAGAAGACCCUGUUGAGCUUGACUCUAGUCCGACUCUGUGAAGAGUCAUGAGAGGUGUAGCAUAAGUGGGAGGUAUUAUUUUUUGRAAUGAUGCCAACAGUGAAAUACCACUACUUUCAUCGAUUCUUUACUUAUUCGGUAAGACGAGAAUUGAACCGAAGACGGUUCUUGAUUCUGGUAUAAAGUGUAGCCGCUUGGUGGCCGCACGACUCGCGCCGAAGACAGUGUCAGGCGGGGAGUUUGACUGGGGCGGUACAUCUGUCAAAAGGUAACGCAGGUGUCCUAAGGCUAGCUCAGAGAGGACGGAAACCUCUCGUAGAGUAAAAGGGCAAAAGCUCGCUUGAUCUUGAUUUCCAGUACGAAUACAGACCGCGAAAGCGUGGCCUAUCGAUCCUUUUGAAUUAGAAGGUCUCUAGCAAGAGGUGUCAGAAAAGUUACCACAGGGAUAACUGGCUUGUGGCAGCCAAGCGUCCAUAGCGACGUUGCUUUUUGAUCCUUCGAUGUCGGCUCUUCCUAUCAUUGCGAAGCAGAAUUCGCCAAGCGUUGGAUUGUUCACCCACCAAUAGGG
Molecule: ribosomal RNA, 3629 nt
Filed under: Synhimantus sp. IBER-BAS N001.141
Lineage: Eukaryota; Metazoa; Nematoda; Chromadorea; Rhabditida; Acuariidae
Description: partial large subunit ribosomal RNA
Source: RNAcentral